This 177-nucleotide long non-coding RNA is filed under the name Canis lupus dingo (dingo). Its description in RNAcentral is "lncRNA (ENSCAFG00020023066.1)". Lineage: Eukaryota; Metazoa; Chordata; Mammalia; Carnivora; Canidae. The record is from RNAcentral.
CGGCGCUUCCUGGGCGCGGAAGUGAAGCUGCGGUUUGCGGAGCGACCCAGAGCUACCUUAGAACGAGCGAUGUCGCCCAGAAUCUGCCCGAAGGCCUCAGACGUCCCACCCUGGUGCAGCUAGCAGUUUCCUGGAAUUUUACAGAAAUUUCGUUCUCCGAAACACCCGAGAUUUUGG